AAUUUUGGAAAUAAAUUUUCAUAAUUAUUCAGACUAUGAUAUUGUGAUUGUGUACCUAGUGGCAGCCCAGUGGGUGUAUAGUAUUCUUCACUUUUGGGUUUAGUUGGCUGGACUAUAUACUCUGCGCAGUUAAGGCCUGGGUCAGGCACUGAUAAGAUUAAUUUUAUUCAUUGCCAACAUUUAUGUAGAUCAUGUAGAUCAUGUAGUGUUAAUGAGAUUCAUAAUGUUGAUUAAUGUUAUUCAUUGCAUGUGACGUCAUAAGGUCAAUGUAUUUGCCGAGGGGUCCGCAACGGCCAGGAAUCUCGUACAAAAUUUUUGGAAUCUCAACUGAAAUCUUGAAAUCUCACUUGGAAUCUUGAAAUCUUGUGGAAUCUCUGGAAUCUUGUGGAAUCUCUGGAAUCCCUUGGAAUCUCUGAUUUCUCUUGGAAUCUCUUGAAAUCUCUGGAAUCUUGUGGAAUGUUAAUGAGAUACCCGUAAACGUAUAUAAAUAAUCUGUAUACUUCGCCGUAGAUUAUUAUUGAGGUUGCAGUAGCCUCGAGACCAGGCCGAUUAUCGAGGCUACGGUCGCAGUUGCGGUUGCAGGCUCAGCUGCUAUUUACAUCUCUCUCUCUAGCUCUAUGAGAAUCAUACUCAUAGCAGCUCUGUGUGCAGAUUAUAGACGAUUCCUAAAGAGAUUAAGGCUGAACAGCAAAGUGAUGACAAAGCUCUCCCAAAAUCAGCUCCAAACUGCCCACUCUUAAUGCCGAGAGUGAGCUUAUGGUUGAGUGAGUCUGAUGCAGUACCAGCGUAAUAAUUUAUAGUUGAAAGUUGCAUAAUUAUAUAUAGAUCUAUGCAUCACAGGACGGACGAAGCGAGGGACAAGGUUCCAAGUCCAAACUGUCCACUCUUAAUGAGAGUGAGCUUAUGGUGGUAUGCAGUACCAGCGUAAUAAUUGUUGUCAUGAAAGUUUGUAUAUGCAUCACAGGAUGGACGAAGCGAGGGACAAGGCUCCCCUUCUCAUCUUAAUGGUAGUGAGCUUAUGGUGCCGGAUGGACAAAGCGAGGGACAAAGCUCUCCCAAACCAAAUGACUGUGCACUGUUUGCAGCUACAUAUUGUACCAGCAUUGCACAUGGACUAGAUCCAUGUUCCCUCGUUUACGACCAGCAGCAAAUGAGGGACCACUUGUACAAGUGUUUCACUACAAAAACAAUGGAUCUCUUUACUGUCUUCCGAACAAAAAGACCAGGACCUGCACGCACUUUGAAAAUCCCUGUCUAUUGCUACUGUCGAUGUGCAGAUGAUGGCCAAGGAAUGGUAGGCUGUGACGGAUGUGAAGAUUGGUAGAUGCAUCAACGCCGCCAAAGUAAAAAGGGAUUAUGGUAUUGCAACCAAGUGUCAAUAAAGUAGUUAGAAUCAAUGACUUUAUAGUCAACAAGUAUAGUCUUUAUAAUUAUUUUAU
Molecule: long non-coding RNA, 1439 nt
Organism: Halichondria panicea
Lineage: Eukaryota; Metazoa; Porifera; Demospongiae; Suberitida; Halichondriidae
Exons: 3
Source: RefSeq, a predicted model, not a curated record